GAUGAACGCUGGCGGCGUGCCUAAUACAUGCAAGUCGAGCGAACAGAUGAGGAGCUUGCUCCUCUGACGUUAGCGGCGGACGGGUGAGUAACACGUGGAUAACCUACCUAUAAGGCUGGGAUAACUUCGGGAAACCGGAGCUAAUACCGGAUAAUAUAUUGAACCGCAUGGUUCAAUAGUGAAAGACGGUUUUGCUGUCACUUAUAGAUGGAUCCGCGCCGCAUUAGCUAGUUGGUAAGGUAACGGCUUACCAAGGCAACGAUGCGUAGCCGACCUGAGAGGGUGAUCGGCCACACUGGAACUGAGACACGGUCCAGACUCCUACGGGAGGCAGCAGUAGGGAAUCUUCCGCAAUGGGCGAAAGCUUGACGGAGCAACGCCGCGUGAGUGAUGAAGGUCUUCGGAUCGUAAAACUCUGUUAUUAGGGAAGAACAAAUGUGUAAGUAACUAUGCACGUCUUGACGGUACCUAAUCAGAAAGCCACGGCUAACUACGUG
This 497-nucleotide ribosomal RNA is filed under the name uncultured bacterium. Its description in RNAcentral is "partial 16S ribosomal RNA". It matches the Rfam family "Bacterial small subunit ribosomal RNA", at positions 28 to 507 of the family's 1533-position model. The record is from RNAcentral.